AGCUUUUUAGUUUAUAUUUAAAAUGUUUACUUGUGGUGUAAAAGAAUAUUAGAGCUU
Molecule: transfer RNA, 57 nt
Filed under: Caenorhabditis plicata
Lineage: Eukaryota; Metazoa; Nematoda; Chromadorea; Rhabditida; Rhabditidae
Description: tRNA-His
Source: RNAcentral